ACACCCUCAAGCCUAGCUUGGUGUUGGGCGUCUGUCCCGCCGAUUUCGCGCGCGGACUCGCCUCAAAGUCAUUGGCGGCGGUCGUGCCGGCUCCUCGCGCAGCACAUUUGCGCUUCUCGGAGGCCCGGCGGAUCCGCGCUCCAGCAAAGACCUUUCAUG
This 159-nucleotide unclassified non-coding RNA is filed under the name uncultured Pleosporales. RNAcentral describes it as "sequence contains ITS2". RNAcentral also lists the same sequence under 1 other name. Lineage: Eukaryota; Fungi; Ascomycota; Dothideomycetes; Pleosporales. The record is from RNAcentral.